CUGCCUCUCCACUGCUUGUGUUCUCUCUCUCUCUCUCAAAAUAAAUAAACUUAAAAAAAUAAAAUGAACGGAAGCCUGUUCAACCCAGGGUAAUUGGAAAGGACUUUAGAUUGGUUUGUGUACCCUUCAGUGACUGCAGGGGACUGACUAGGAUGGCCCUGGGUCCUGAUUAGCUCUACCAAACCAGACUUCGGUACCUGGUUCUGCUUCCUCCUUGUAGGAUGGGAACAUGACUUCCUGCUGCACCCACUUCCUCUCUCUGCCUUGCUCUUCGGGGCCUUCCCCACUUUCUUUUUUUUCUCCUCUCUUCCCUGCCCAUGAUGUCUCAGGCCUGCCAACACUGCUCACUGGCGUCAAGGCUCACUCCCACCUCUGCCACUGUGGCUGUGGCUCUCUUGGUACCCUUAGUGCCAAUCCAGGCAAAGUUCAAGAAAGAUUGGUGCCCCAGAGAGGACAGCACAAGUGAUAGAACCCAGAAGAGACGGAGGCAUCUUCGUAUCCAGGCCAACCAUUCAGGCGUCACUGUGAGAGGGAAGCAGAAAGUUAAUGAAAAUUUGACUCGUUGGACUUGAGGCACUGUUCUAAGCUCUUCACCCAUAUUAACUUACUUUAUUCUUACAACCACCACCCAAGAAGUUGUUACUAUAGUCAUACCUAUUUUCCAGAUGAGGAAAUCGAGGCACUGAGGUAAGCAACUUGACCAAACUUAGACAACUAUGAAGAUGCCAGUAUGCAAAACCAGACAAUCUAGUCUGUGCUUUGUUAUACAGCUUAACCUUUUUUUUUUUUUUUUUUUUUAAGCUUAUUUACUUAUUUUGAG
Long non-coding RNA from Herpailurus yagouaroundi (jaguarundi), 820 nucleotides. RefSeq lists it as uncharacterized. The record is from RefSeq and is a predicted model, not a curated record. Lineage: Eukaryota; Metazoa; Chordata; Mammalia; Carnivora; Felidae. The transcript has 3 exons.